RNAcentral lists this ribosomal RNA (207 nucleotides) under uncultured bacterium. Its description in RNAcentral is "partial 16S ribosomal RNA". It matches the Rfam family "Bacterial small subunit ribosomal RNA", at positions 568 to 774 of the family's 1533-position model. The record is from RNAcentral.
CGCGUAGGCGGGAACGAAAGUGUCUUGUGAAAUCCCUCGGCUUAACCGAGGAAUUGCUUGGCAAACUACGUUUCUUGAGGCAAGCAGGGGUGUGUGGAACUCUUAGUGGAGCGGUGGAAUGCGUAGAUAUUAAGAGGAACGCCGAAGGUGAAAACAGCACACUGGGCUUGUACUGACGCUGAGGCGCGAAAGCGUGGGGAGCAAACA